GUCGAUAGGUCUGCAUAUAGCUGGAUACCAGAGUAGGGAUCCGGUAGAAUGGGUUGUUUCCUCGCCGCCAUAAGGAGUUUUUCUUUUGAUCUGUAGUAAUGAAAGCACGUUACCACAUCUCAUGGGGUGUCCGCGCUGAGUCUUUGCGGUUUUGGCAGACAGUGGGCCCGAUCCAUUAGCCAUUCGGUUUCAGGCAGAUCGGCCACCAGGGAUUUGCAGAGUGAUGUCAGAUAAUCUUAGAGCUGGUCUCUGGUCAAGCUCUCUGGGAUUCCGCAAAAACGGACAUUGUUCCGCCUCGAGCGGUCUUCCAUGUCUGCUAGUUUCCUUUUUAGGAACUG
Pelobates cultripes (western spadefoot toad) is the source of this 338-nucleotide non-coding RNA. The record is from the annotation of a GenBank genome assembly. NCBI's taxonomy places the organism in Eukaryota, Metazoa, Chordata, Amphibia, Anura, Pelobatidae.